AAAUUGAAGAGUUUGAUCAUGGCUCAGAUUGAACGCUGGCGGCAGGCCUAACACAUGCAAGUCGAACGGUAACAGGAAGCAGCUUGCUGCUUCGCUGACGAGUGGCGGACGGGUGAGUAAUGUCUGGGAAGCUGCCUGAUGGAGGGGGAUAACUACUGGAAACGGUGGCUAAUACCGCAUAACGUCGCAAGACCAAAGAGGGGGACCUUCGGGCCUCUUGCCAUCAGAUGUGCCCAGAUGGGAUUAGCUAGUUGGUGAGGUAACGGCUCACCAAGGCGACGAUCCCUAGCUGGUCUGAGAGGAUGACCAGCCACACUGGAACUGAGACACGGUCCAGACUCCUACGGGAGGCAGCAGUG
Molecule: ribosomal RNA, 359 nt
Filed under: Salmonella enterica
Lineage: Bacteria; Pseudomonadati; Pseudomonadota; Gammaproteobacteria; Enterobacterales; Enterobacteriaceae
Description: bacterial SSU rRNA
Rfam family: Bacterial small subunit ribosomal RNA
Source: RNAcentral